RNAcentral lists this ribosomal RNA (2901 nucleotides) under Escherichia coli KTE196. RNAcentral describes it as "bacterial LSU rRNA". It matches the Rfam family "Bacterial large subunit ribosomal RNA". Lineage: Bacteria; Pseudomonadati; Pseudomonadota; Gammaproteobacteria; Enterobacterales; Enterobacteriaceae. The record is from RNAcentral.
UUAAGCGACUAAGCGUACACGGUGGAUGCCCUGGCAGUCAGAGGCGAUGAAGGACGUGCUAAUCUGCGAUAAGCGUCGGUAAGGUGAUAUGAACCGUUAUAACCGGCGAUUUCCGAAUGGGGAAACCCAGUGUGUUUCGACACACUAUCAUUAACUGAAUCCAUAGGUUAAUGAGGCGAACCGGGGGAACUGAAACAUCUAAGUACCCCGAGGAAAAGAAAUCAACCGAGAUUCCCCCAGUAGCGGCGAGCGAACGGGGAGGAGCCCAGAGCCUGAAUCAGUGUGUGUGUUAGUGGAAGCGUCUGGAAAGGCGCGCGAUACAGGGUGACAGCCCCGUACACAAAAAUGCACAUGCUGUGAGCUCGAUGAGUAGGGCGGGACACGUGGUAUCCUGUCUGAAUAUGGGGGGACCAUCCUCCAAGGCUAAAUACUCCUGACUGACCGAUAGUGAACCAGUACCGUGAGGGAAAGGCGAAAAGAACCCCGGCGAGGGGAGUGAAAAAGAACCUGAAACCGUGUACGUACAAGCAGUGGGAGCCUCUUUUAUGGGGUGACUGCGUACCUUUUGUAUAAUGGGUCAGCGACUUAUAUUCUGUAGCAAGGUUAACCGAAUAGGGGAGCCGAAGGGAAACCGAGUCUUAACUGGGCGUUAAGUUGCAGGGUAUAGACCCGAAACCCGGUGAUCUAGCCAUGGGCAGGUUGAAGGUUGGGUAACACUAACUGGAGGACCGAACCGACUAAUGUUGAAAAAUUAGCGGAUGACUUGUGGCUGGGGGUGAAAGGCCAAUCAAACCGGGAGAUAGCUGGUUCUCCCCGAAAGCUAUUUAGGUAGCGCCUCGUGAAUUCAUCUCCGGGGGUAGAGCACUGUUUCGGCAAGGGGGUCAUCCCGACUUACCAACCCGAUGCAAACUGCGAAUACCGGAGAAUGUUAUCACGGGAGACACACGGCGGGUGCUAACGUCCGUCGUGAAGAGGGAAACAACCCAGACCGCCAGCUAAGGUCCCAAAGUCAUGGUUAAGUGGGAAACGAUGUGGGAAGGCCCAGACAGCCAGGAUGUUGGCUUAGAAGCAGCCAUCAUUUAAAGAAAGCGUAAUAGCUCACUGGUCGAGUCGGCCUGCGCGGAAGAUGUAACGGGGCUAAACCAUGCACCGAAGCUGCGGCAGCGACACUGUGUGUUGUUGGGUAGGGGAGCGUUCUGUAAGCCUGUGAAGGUGUACUGUGAGGUAUGCUGGAGGUAUCAGAAGUGCGAAUGCUGACAUAAGUAACGAUAAAGCGGGUGAAAAGCCCGCUCGCCGGAAGACCAAGGGUUCCUGUCCAACGUUAAUCGGGGCAGGGUGAGUCGACCCCUAAGGCGAGGCCGAAAGGCGUAGUCGAUGGGAAACAGGUUAAUAUUCCUGUACUUGGUGUUACUGCGAAGGGGGGACGGAGAAGGCUAUGUUGGCCGGGCGACGGUUGUCCCGGUUUAAGCGUGUAGGCUGGUUUUCCAGGCAAAUCCGGAAAAUCAAGGCUGAGGCGUGAUGACGAGGCACUACGGUGCUGAAGCAACAAAUGCCCUGCUUCCAGGAAAAGCCUCUAAGCAUCAGGUAACAUCAAAUCGUACCCCAAACCGACACAGGUGGUCAGGUAGAGAAUACCAAGGCGCUUGAGAGAACUCGGGUGAAGGAACUAGGCAAAAUGGUGCCGUAACUUCGGGAGAAGGCACGCUGAUAUGUAGGUGAAGUCACUUGCUCAUGGAGCUGAAAUCAGUCGAAGAUACCAGCUGGCUGCAACUGUUUAUUAAAAACACAGCACUGUGCAAACACGAAAGUGGACGUAUACGGUGUGACGCCUGCCCGGUGCCGGAAGGUUAAUUGAUGGGGUCAGCGCAAGCGAAGCUCUUGAUCGAAGCCCCGGUAAACGGCGGCCGUAACUAUAACGGUCCUAAGGUAGCGAAAUUCCUUGUCGGGUAAGUUCCGACCUGCACGAAUGGCGUAAUGAUGGCCAGGCUGUCUCCACCCGAGACUCAGUGAAAUUGAACUCGCUGUGAAGAUGCAGUGUACCCGCGGCAAGACGGAAAGACCCCGUGAACCUUUACUAUAGCUUGACACUGAACAUUGAGCCUUGAUGUGUAGGAUAGGUGGGAGGCUUAGAAGUGUGGACGCCAGUCUGCAUGGAGCCGACCUUGAAAUACCACCCUUUAAUGUUUGAUGUUCUAACGUUGACCCGUGAUCCGGGUUGCGGACAGUGUCUGGUGGGUAGUUUGACUGGGGCGGUCUCCUCCUAAAGAGUAACGGAGGAGCACGAAGGUUGGCUAAUCCUGGUCGGACAUCAGGAGGUUAGUGCAAUGGCAUAAGCCAGCUUGACUGCGAGCGUGACGGCGCGAGCAGGUGCGAAAGCAGGUCAUAGUGAUCCGGUGGUUCUGAAUGGAAGGGCCAUCGCUCAACGGAUAAAAGGUACUCCGGGGAUAACAGGCUGAUACCGCCCAAGAGUUCAUAUCGACGGCGGUGUUUGGCACCUCGAUGUCGGCUCAUCACAUCCUGGGGCUGAAGUAGGUCCCAAGGGUAUGGCUGUUCGCCAUUUAAAGUGGUACGCGAGCUGGGUUUAGAACGUCGUGAGACAGUUCGGUCCCUAUCUGCCGUGGGCGCUGGAGAACUGAGGGGGGCUGCUCCUAGUACGAGAGGACCGGAGUGGACGCAUCACUGGUGUUCGGGUUGUCAUGCCAAUGGCACUGCCCGGUAGCUAAAUGCGGAAGAGAUAAGUGCUGAAAGCAUCUAAGCACGAAACUUGCCCCGAGAUGAGUUCUCCCUGACCCUUUAAGGGUCCUGAAGGAACGUUGAAGACGACGACGUUGAUAGGCCGGGUGUGUAAGCGCAGCGAUGCGUUGAGCUAACCGGUACUAAUGAACCGUGAGGCUUAACCUU